CGGGUGUAGCUCAACGGUAGAGCGUCAGCCUUCCAAGCUGAUCACGAGGGUUCGACUCCCUUCACCC
This 67-nucleotide transfer RNA is filed under the name bovine gut metagenome. It matches the Rfam family "tRNA". From Rfam's summary of the family: Transfer RNA (tRNA) molecules are approximately 80 nucleotides in length. Their secondary structure includes four short double-helical elements and three loops (D, anti-codon, and T loops). The record is from RNAcentral.